Molecule: ribosomal RNA, 250 nt
Filed under: uncultured bacterium
Lineage: Bacteria
Description: partial 16S ribosomal RNA
Rfam family: Bacterial small subunit ribosomal RNA
Source: RNAcentral
UACGUAGGUGGCGAGCGUUGUCCGGAUUUAUUGGGUUUAAAGGGUGCGUAGGCGUCCUGACAAGUUUUAGGUGAAAUGCCCAGGCUUAACCUGGGAGCUGCCUGAAAAACUGUUGGGAUUGAGUACAGACGAGGUAGGCGGAAUUGACGGUGUAGCGGUGAAAUGCAUAGAUAUCGUCAGGAACACCGAUAGCGAAGGCAGCUUACUAGACUGUAACUGACGCUGAGGCACGAAAGUGUGGGGAUCAAAC